This 547-nucleotide ribosomal RNA is filed under the name Salmonella enterica. RNAcentral describes it as "bacterial SSU rRNA". It matches the Rfam family "Bacterial small subunit ribosomal RNA", at positions 998 to 1533 of the family's 1533-position model. RNAcentral also lists the same sequence under 1 other name. Lineage: Bacteria; Pseudomonadati; Pseudomonadota; Gammaproteobacteria; Enterobacterales; Enterobacteriaceae. The record is from RNAcentral.
AUUCAGAGAUGGAUUUGUGCCUUCGGGAACUGUGAGACAGGUGCUGCAUGGCUGUCGUCAGCUCGUGUUGUGAAAUGUUGGGUUAAGUCCCGCAACGAGCGCAACCCUUAUCCUUUGUUGCCAGCGGUCCGGCCGGGAACUCAAAGGAGACUGCCAGUGAUAAACUGGAGGAAGGUGGGGAUGACGUCAAGUCAUCAUGGCCCUUACGACCAGGGCUACACACGUGCUACAAUGGCGCAUACAAAGAGAAGCGACCUCGCGAGAGCAAGCGGACCUCAUAAAGUGCGUCGUAGUCCGGAUUGGAGUCUGCAACUCGACUCCAUGAAGUCGGAAUCGCUAGUAAUCGUGGAUCAGAAUGCCACGGUGAAUACGUUCCCGGGCCUUGUACACACCGCCCGUCACACCAUGGGAGUGGGUUGCAAAAGAAGUAGGUAGCUUAACCUUCGGGAGGGCGCUUACCACUUUGUGAUUCAUGACUGGGGUGAAGUCGUAACAAGGUAACCGUAGGGGAACCUGCGGUUGGAUCACCUCCUUACCUUAAAGAAGC